This 2598-nucleotide long non-coding RNA is filed under the name Zea mays. RNAcentral's name for it is "long non-coding RNA (ZMAY_LNC005438)". Lineage: Eukaryota; Viridiplantae; Streptophyta; Magnoliopsida; Poales; Poaceae. The record is from RNAcentral.
AUGGUACAGAACGAAUGUCACAUCUUUACUAUAUAAUGGAGUUCUAUACAAAAAUAGUUAAAUAAUUACAUCAUAAAAAAAUAACGAUCCAGCAACCAUAGUUGACUGGGAGACGACGGCCCAGACCUCUCACGAACUCAUUGCGACAUCCUUCAUGUUCCUCAUCUUGUAUUACCUAUCCUUGACCUGGGGGAAUGUGAGUACAACAAGGGUGAGCUCACAUACGUUCAUCGCUCACCAAGUUGUGGGGAAUAAUAUGCAUGAGCUCACUCUAAGUAGGGGCUCAUGUGAAAUGUAAGGCUUACCAAAGAAGAUGGUUAAAGCUGAGCAUUGCUUUUGAAGUUAGUCAAAAUUUUAUUAGCAGUUACUAAAUGUAAGUAGAUACCAACCCCAAAAAAAUAAGAGAUCACAAUUAACAAUAACACCCACAAUGCAAUGCAAAUAACAAAUUGAGGUUAGUUCCAUAAAAUUAAUCAUGCAAGAGUACUGAGUUGCUCUUAACCAUGAGCACGACUGAUAUACCAGUUUUAGACUCUAUAGAGGUUGUGCCCUUUAUCCACAAGUCGUGUUACCCAUUUGCCAAGGGAUCGCGACUUCCCAUUCAUCUCUACCGAGGAGACAAGGCAGGGUAGCACUACGAGGCCUUUACAAAGUUCCACUAGUUUCAGAAAACCCGCUACGGUUUCUGAGAAGGGCAAUAUACGAGUCCCUCGUCCGAAAAUCCAUCGCAGCAUGAUCGACCUGAGAACCUCCCUAUACCGCAGCUCCUCUACCGCCCUUGCCACUUUCGGGUAAGGUAGUCCUCCACUAGCUUUCCUAAUUAGUCAGCCAACGGCGUCCCAUUCCACGGUAGCACGGUUAUCUCAAGUUAAGCUGCAUGUUCCAAUUAACACAAUGAUCUUGUCAUGAACAAUAAUUAAAACAACAACAUAAUUGGAACAUGAUCAUAAUUCAAAUGUAACAUUAAUCCAAAAACUAGGUAGAGCAAUAACAAGUCCACCCAAUAGUUCAUUUGUCUGCAAGGGGUGGGCUAAACAGAACUAGGGAAAACAAAUUAGGUCCUUUCAAAAUAACCUGAGCAUGCCACAGUGAUUAAUAGAGAUCAUUAUUAGGUAAAGAAGAGCGAUCAAGGGCACAACUUGCCUUAGACUUGAGGUCCCCGGUACUUCACCAAGUUGGUAUUUGGUUGACUCAUAAUGUCGCUGCUACUCGUAGCAAUACAUACAAAUAGACAAGAAGUAUAUAAAAAUAAUAGUACACCAAACAUGAGAACAAACAACGCAAGAGUAUUCUACGCGCUUCUACGAGAUAAAGUUGGAGUUACGGUUAAAAAGAUAUGAUUUUCUAAAAUUGUAGAUGAUUAAAUAAUAAAACUAUGUUUAUGUUGAUUAAUAUAAAUCAGAUGAGAAAAAUACUUCAAAUAUACAUUUAAUUCAUCUCCUCAUCUAAGUUAUAUCUUAACUAUGAGUCGGUUUAUAAUUAUUACCUUAGAGAGAUUAAUUGGCUAAACAUAGGCUAAGAGUUAUCUAAUUAUAGGAGUGUGUGACAUAAUACAUCUAAUGUUAUUACUGUAUGGACAACAUUAAUAUGAGACUAACGCGACCAGAACGAAGAAAAUCGUGGCAAAAACGAGUAAGUUAUGAAUUUCCUGAGGUUCCUAGAUUUAUUUUUAUACUAGAAUUUCUAUUUCAAAAUUGAUUCUGUGAUAUACAUUAAGCACUAGGGAUGUUAGUUCAAUAAUCCUAAAGUCUAGGGUUCACUUUGAAAAGAAAAGGACUGAACCGACACAAUUUUAUAACUGAGGUGGACUAAGGGUUUAUAUUAAGGAAGUCGGAGGUCUCUUAUGCAUAACUCCCUAGCCAAAGGGGUAUCGGCCAACCGGAUCCAUCAGAUCCACUUUCAACAGUUCAGAUUAAAAGUCCCUUAACGUUAUGAACCGGUAUUCACCAUGGACCACCGGAUCUGAGAUCCACGGCUCGCAAUACGACCGCGCGCUGAUCACACCCGAGCCCUUGGAUCAUCGAUCAACGCACACGAUUUAAUCCAUCGAAGGCUUACACUUGAUCUAAUCAUGACUGUUGGCCCAAGAUCCAACGGCCCGGAACCCAUCGACCACCUCCCGACGGCCAGGCGUGGCGACCGGAGAUCCACCGUGACGGCGCCAUUGCUGGCGACCACAGAUCACGUGCCAGAGCGUCAAGGCUUUAAUUCGACAAGUGCUAUACAAAGCGGGUAGAAAAUCGUAGGUAGUAGGCGGUUCAAUACCUGAAUUCGAGUAGUAGAGCUCCCUAUCCGCGGGAUAGGGCGGUUCGACGAAAUAAAGAUUGCUCCGAUGAGCAAUUAGCGGGUCACUGUUGGGUUUCCCCGCCUGAGAUGGCCACGGAUGAGUUCCAUGUGCACCUGCGACGCCCCCAGACCACACCACGUGACCGAACGUCGGUGAAUCGUGAGGACCACAAUAGCGGCUUCGAGUUACCUCUCGCUUUCUCUGCGCUCACACUUCGGCAAUGGUGGCUCACGACUGCAUAGGUUGGGAUGGCCAAGGGGUUCACAGAUGGUCGUAUAAAUACACUGGUGAGAGACAAAAUCCCAACAAUC